Molecule: long non-coding RNA, 1726 nt
Filed under: Canis lupus familiaris (dog)
Lineage: Eukaryota; Metazoa; Chordata; Mammalia; Carnivora; Canidae
Description: lncRNA (ENSCAFG00845015501.1)
Source: RNAcentral
UUUUUUCUUUUCUUCUCUUUUCUUUUCUUUUCUUUUUUUUCUUUUUUUUCUUUUCCUUAUGACAUUAUAUACUUUUUCUUUUCUUUAUGACAUUAUAUACGUGCUUGCAGAUCAGGAAUUCAAAACAUCAUUCCUCCCUCAAGAUGAAAAAUGUCUGAAAAACUCCUGAUCAACUUCUUCUCAAAUCUAAUUAGUCCUGUACUUCUGCCUGUAGAUAGAGUACUUCUCGCAAGGCCUUUUUAAUGAAAAAAAAAAAAAAUGGCAGAAACCAGAAAUGUAAAUUAAGACCAGUUUUGCAAGUGUUCUUCUAAAGAAUCUGGAAUAUCACCAUUUUGCCCACAGUGAAACCAUCCAAGGGAGCAAAACAGUUUGCUGACCCCUGAAUGUGAUGAAUGAGUCAGACUGUGAGUUGAGUAUUUCAGUUGCUAUUCCUGAAAGUGUCGUUUUUACCUUCAGGUAUUGUCUCUUCUGGCUUUUGACUAAUGUGUCUAUAAGAUAACCAAGACAGCCUAAAUGUCCACAUUCGUCCUUUCAUAUCAUAUUUAUCUGUAGUAAAUAUUUUUAUGACCUUGUUAUAGCCAUACACAUGUAUAUUAAUUAUAUAUAGAUAUAUAACUUUUGCAACCUAUUCCAAGGAGUUGCAGCUCCUCUGAAAUCAUGGUCUCUUAGGUUUUUUCAAGUCCAUGAGCCAUAUAGUUGGUUUUCAUCAUUUCAAAUCACCCUUCCUUUGGCUGUGAGAUGAAAUGAAUUUCAUAUUACAGUUCUAAAUGGCAUUAAGAACUAAAGGGAGAUGAAUAGCCCACCCUCUGCUCUGGAGUUUUUAUUUUAGUCCUCACUGUGUGAAAAAUAUGUCAUAUUACUUAAAUCUAAAUAGAAAAAUCACAGUAGCUAAUGUGUACUGAGCCUCCAUUAUGUGCUCUAUACAUUCUCUCAUUUUAUCCAUAUAUGCGUAAGAAAUGGGUUGGUGUGCUAGCCCUGUUUUACAAAAGAGGAAACUAAGGCUUAGUUAAGACACUUGCCCAAGAUCACACAACCAAUAAUUGACAUGUCGGGACUCACACAUAGAAUUGUCAGAUUACAAAGUUGGGGCUCUUGAUCUCACUAUUAAAUAAUAGGUGUGAGUAUUUUUGUUCUUUCAUAUACCUUCAAGUCUUUUAACCUGUUAAUACAACCACGCCAGAGAAUAUAAUGGAAUUACCCAGUAAAUUGACAACUUUGCUUCCUCUCACUGGCAAAAGUAAAUGGGAGAAUCAUUCCUUGCCGUCAUUCCUUCCUUCUUGCCUGGUCUCCCUGUCCAUUCCCAACUCUAUAAUCUGAGACAACUAGGGAAGUCCUGACUUUGGGGUCCCUAGCAUCCCCUCCUAUUUGUGAUCUUCAGCCUGUUGACACUUGCCAGCUUCUGAAGGCCAAUGAACAAGAAGAGAUGCUGCUUUUUCCAUUGUGCGGCUCACUAGCUGGAAGGCAACUUCUUACAAGUGGGCAGGGAGAUCUGUGUGAUGGAAGAGGCCCUAGGGCUGAGCAUAAAGGCCGCUGACUACCAGCAGUCCUCGUGGCUAGUGGACCACACAGGGGCGUGAAAGCCAGUACCUGCAUGGUUGGGGAGUUUGAGGUAAGCUGACUUCAGGACUUGAAGACUCUAUUACAAGUGGGAGGGGCUUUAAAGAGAUUCCUUAUAGUGCACAUUUGGAUAAUGAAAAUUUUAAAAAAAAAGAAAAGAAAAGAAAAA